AGAGUUAUUAUGGCGUCAGGAUGAACGCUGGCGGCGUGCCUAACACAUGCAAGUCGAACGGAGCUAUUCUGCGGAGAUUCGGUCAAAGCGGGUUAAGCUAGUGGCGGACGGGUGAGUAACGCGUGGAGAACCUGCCCUGUACCGGGGGAUAACAAGCCGGAAACGGCUGCUAAUACCGCAUAAGCGCACGAAGGCGCAUGCCUUAGUGUGAAAAAACUCCGGUGGUACAGGAUGGCUCCGCGCUGGAUUAGCCAGUUGGCGGGUAACGGCCCACCAAAGCGACGAUCCAUAGCCGGCCUGAGAGGGUGGACGGCCACAUUGGGACUGAGACACGGCCCAGACUCCUACGGGAGGCAGCAGUGGGGAAUAUUGCACAAUGGGGGAAACCCUGAUGCAAGCGACGCCGCGUGAAGGAAGAAGUAUCUCGGUAUGUAAACUUCUAUCAGCAGGGAAGAUGAUGACGGUACCUGACUAAGAAGCCCCGGCUAACUACGUGCCAGCCGCAGC
Molecule: ribosomal RNA, 507 nt
Filed under: uncultured bacterium
Lineage: Bacteria
Description: bacterial SSU rRNA
Rfam family: Bacterial small subunit ribosomal RNA
Source: RNAcentral